This 482-nucleotide ribosomal RNA is filed under the name uncultured bacterium. Its description in RNAcentral is "partial 16S ribosomal RNA". It matches the Rfam family "Bacterial small subunit ribosomal RNA", at positions 30 to 507 of the family's 1533-position model. The record is from RNAcentral.
AUUGAACGCUGGCGGCAUGCUUUACACAUGCAAGUCGAACGGUAACAGGCCGCAAGGUGCUGACGAGUGGCGAACGGGUGAGUAAUGCAUCGGAACGUGCCCAGUCGUGGGGGAUAACGCAGCGAAAGCUGUGCUAAUACCGCAUACGAUCUAUGGAUGAAAGCGGGGGACCGAAAGGCCUCGCGCGAUUGGAGCGGCCGAUGUCAGAUUAGGUAGUUGGUGGGGUAAAGGCCUACCAAGCCAACGAUCUGUAGCUGGUCUGAGAGGACGACCAGCCACACUGGGACUGAGACACGGCCCAGACUCCUACGGGAGGCAGCAGUGGGGAAUUUUGGACAAUGGGCGCAAGCCUGAUCCAGCAAUGCCGCGUGCAGGAAGAAGGCCUUCGGGUUGUAAACUGCUUUUGUACGGAACGAAACGGUGUGGACUAAUACCCUGGACUAAUGACGGUACCGUAAGAAUAAGCACCGGCUAACUACGUG